Molecule: long non-coding RNA, 2135 nt
Organism: Pipistrellus kuhlii (Kuhl's pipistrelle)
Lineage: Eukaryota; Metazoa; Chordata; Mammalia; Chiroptera; Vespertilionidae
Exons: 4
Source: RefSeq, a predicted model, not a curated record
UUUCAUCAGAUGCAGGGGCCAAACUAGAAGGGUUAAAAUUUAAAUAGCAGUUUUUACCAAAGUAUGGUUGCCACUAUAUUUCAAUCCUGCUUCCCAAUCAUUAAAUGGGGAUCAUAACAGCAUCUAAAUUGUGAAAGAUAAUAAGAUGAAGUAUGUAAAAUGCUUAGUACAGAGCCUGACACAAAAUAAUGUCAACUACAUGUGUCAAUACCUCAACAUCCUUAUUUUAUUUCCAAGAACCUAGAGCUGGAGUGCAAAUGGAAUCAUCCAUGUUCUGUGGUGGCUCUCAGAGGUGCAGACGUGACAGGAACCAUCCUGUGGGGGAGGGGGUCCUGGGCCUUGAGGAGGCUGUGGGAGGGGCCCAGGUCUGUUUCUCCACCGAGGCACUAUUGGCAUUUUGGACAAGGUAAUCUUUUGUUGGGAGGGGCCAUCCUGUGAAUUUUAGAAUGUUUAGCAGCAUCUCGGACCUCUUCUUACUAUGGGCAAUUAUUAGCAACCUUCUAGUUGUGACAAUAAAAAUAAAAUUAAAAAAACAACAUGCCUCUAGACUUUGCCACAUGAUGGGGGGGGGGGGGCAAAAUUACCCUUGGUUGAAAAAUAAUGGUCUGUGCAGGUAGGGAAGUUUGGGGGCAUCCCCAAAGAUACCUGGCUGAGCCAAGCUGGGGAGGCGGGAAGGAGUGUGAUCGGGAUGGAGGCUCCCCUUCCCUAGGCAGGACUCAGGUUGGCCCUCAGGGUUGAGUCCAGGGGUUGGUCUUGGGACAUCCCCCACCCCCACCCCGCCACACCCCCUGAUUUCCCCUAGUAAACAUGUGGCCUAGGAUGUGAACUUCCAGCAUUCCUAUAUAGUAACCAGUAACCAGCCUAAGGGAAUAGUGACCAAUCAGAGGGCUAUAGGGGAAUUGGAUUGGCAGCCUUUAUAGGGAAAAAGAACUCAGUGGGACCCUCUCCCCCUCCUCACGUGGGAGACCAUUCUAUGGGACUCUUUCCCUCUCCCCACGCGGAGUCUGUACUUGUUCUUCAAUAAAUCUCCACCUUUGCUGUACCACCUUCUGUCCGUGGAUUCAUUCUUCGGAUCCGGCGGACAAAGAAUCCAGGUUCCAGUCCAAAAAUUCCAUUUCCGUAGGAAGGUGUGGGCCCUGUGGGUUUUUGUCUGUUUCCUAAAGGCAGGGAGGAAUUUUAAGGGAGGUCUCAGGGGAGGAUCUCAAUAGAAUAUUCACAUCAGCUUUGCAGGUGUGUCCUUUAAUACGAUGAUUCAUCGAAAUGAGCGAGUGUAGAGAGUCAGUGUCACGGUCUCUGGCGAUCAGUCGGUGCUAGGGUAGGGGUCCUGAUUACAAGUUGGUUUUACCUGUUCACUUUGGUUUUGCUGCUUUUCUGGGCCAAAGCUAAAACACAAUUGACGCCUAGAUGUUCUAGUUUGACCAAAACUCUUGUCUCUGUGGUCAACAGACCGGAAGCUUUGUUCCAGAAGCUUUAUUAUAAUAGAUGCUGGUCAGACCCUCCUUGUUCUCAGGGCCAAAGGUUAAGGAAGUGGUCUUGCUGGGAGCAGGAGGCAGGUGAGUCUGGAUGGGGCCCAUGUGAACCCAUUAUCUUCUCAGUUCCCCAUUCCACCCGCUAAUGAAUUUUUAUAGCUUCUCACUGUCCUGCCUCCCCGUGGCCGAGGUCCAGCGGUAGUAUUUCUGUGGAUCCCUGGGGUGAGGGGGCCGUGGAAGGAAAAACUUUCCCUCUACCAGCUUAGGUUUGAGGGGUGAGGGUAGGGGCAGGGGCAUGUGAGUUAACUAACAAUAGACAGAUUCACAAAAGAAAAGGUGAGGUUUGCACGCAUACUAAAAGUGGGCACAAGGACUAAUGAGUAACUCACGGAAUAACCAGACGUAAAGGUUUAGGUUCCAGUUUAACCAGAGCAGGGAUUAGGGCUUUUGUAGGGUUAGGAUGAAGGCUCUGAUGAGGCUUGGCUUGUUGACACAAUUUCUUUGGGCACCUCCCCGGAGCAAUGGGGAUGGGGUCCGGGCAGCUGAUUUCCCUGAAGCUCCAGGCAGUCAGGUGAGAUUUCUAAGGGAAGUGCAGGUGAGAUUUCUUUCUGGUCUGUCCUUGGAUUAUUGGUUCAUCCAGGGAAGCACCUGGAUUCUUUUAUCCUC